GAUCCUGGCUUAGGAUGAACGCUAGCUACAGGCUUAACACAUGCAAGUCGAGGGGCAUCAGGAAGAAAGCUUGCUUUCUUUGCUGGCGACCGGCGCACGGGUGAGUAACACGUAUCCAACCUGCCGAUGACUCGGGGAUAGCCUUUCGAAAGAAAGAUUAAUACCCGAUGGCAUAUCUGAAAGGCAUCUUUCAGCUAUUAAAGAAUUUCGGUCAUUGAUGGGGAUGCGUUCCAUUAGGUUG
This 241-nucleotide ribosomal RNA is filed under the name uncultured bacterium. RNAcentral's name for it is "partial 16S ribosomal RNA". It matches the Rfam family "Bacterial small subunit ribosomal RNA", at positions 15 to 248 of the family's 1533-position model. The record is from RNAcentral.